RNAcentral lists this small RNA (463 nucleotides) under uncultured Glomus. RNAcentral describes it as "SSU rRNA". It matches the Rfam family "Eukaryotic small subunit ribosomal RNA", at positions 569 to 1040 of the family's 1831-position model. The record is from RNAcentral. Lineage: Eukaryota; Fungi; Glomeromycota; Glomeromycetes; Glomerales; Glomeraceae.
AGCAGCCGCGGUAAUUCCAGCUCCAAUAGCGUAUAUUAAAGUUGUUGCAGUUAAAAAGCUCGUAGUUGAAUUUCGAGAUCGGCUUACUGGUCGUGCUUUUGUACGUACUGGUAAAUCGGUUUCUCCUUUCUGACGAACUUUAAUGCCAUUAAUUUGGUGUUUUAGGGAAUCAGGACUGUUACUUUGAAAAAUUAGAGUGUUUAAAGCAGGCUCACGCUUGAAUACAUUAGCAUGGAAUAACGGAAUAGGACGUUUGAUUUUAUUUGUUGGUUUCUAGGAUCGACGUAAUGAUUAAUAGGGAUAGUUGGGGGCAUUAGUAUUCAAUUGUCAGAGGUGAAAUUCUUGGAUUUAUUGAAGACUAACUACUGCGAAAGCAUUUGCCAAGGAUGUUUUCAUUAAUCAAGAACGAAAGUUAGGGGAUCGAAGACGAUCAGAUACCGUCGUAGUCUUAACCAUAAACUAU